GAUCGGAUGCCAUCAAUUGAUCAGCGAGGAGUUGCUUUUGGACACAGGCGGUAAUUUGCAAAUCCCUGGAACUAUCUAAUGCCGGUGACAUUGUGGUGAGGGUUUUUUUUUUUUAAAAAACAUCACCAUGCGUGUCAAGACUUGAAACUAUCUAAUAUCAUUUUAUUAUGUCAGUUGUAUCAGCUGCUACGGGAAAGCGGGCCUG
This 205-nucleotide long non-coding RNA is filed under the name Elaeis guineensis (African oil palm). RNAcentral describes it as "long non-coding RNA (EGUI_LNC010569)". The record is from RNAcentral. Lineage: Eukaryota; Viridiplantae; Streptophyta; Magnoliopsida; Arecales; Arecaceae.